AAAGCUCUUACCGAAGUGUUAGUCGGUGCCGGAAAAACUUGAAAAGCGAGAGAAAAUUUGAUGCCGAUGAGAGAAAUCUGAAAGUGGCAUGAUUUGCGAAUGACCGCCCCCUCCCUAUUUAUACCCGCUAGUGUAUUAAAUGCUAAAUCGAUAAGAGAGAUUUGACCAGUGCCCCGAGAAAAUUCCAGAAGCAAGGUUUAGCGGAUUAGAUCAGACACAAUUAAAAGGGAUCGGAG
RNAcentral lists this unclassified non-coding RNA (236 nucleotides) under Hevea brasiliensis (rubber tree). The record is from RNAcentral. Lineage: Eukaryota; Viridiplantae; Streptophyta; Magnoliopsida; Malpighiales; Euphorbiaceae.